AGUAAGCCUGCGUUAAGGAUUGAAAUGGCAUCCUUUUUUCUUUUUCUGAAAAAAGAUAUAAUGGAAAGCCUGACCCUGA
Molecule: small RNA, 79 nt
Filed under: Polaribacter sp. KT25b
Lineage: Bacteria; Pseudomonadati; Bacteroidota; Flavobacteriia; Flavobacteriales; Flavobacteriaceae
Description: Flavo-1 RNA
Rfam family: Flavo-1 RNA
Source: Rfam by way of RNAcentral